AAAGAAAUGGAAAUUGG
This 17-nucleotide microRNA is filed under the name Corchorus capsularis. RNAcentral describes it as "sRNA CCACVL1_25562". Lineage: Eukaryota; Viridiplantae; Streptophyta; Magnoliopsida; Malvales; Malvaceae. The record is from RNAcentral.